RNAcentral lists this ribosomal RNA (381 nucleotides) under uncultured marine Chaetocerotaceae. Its description in RNAcentral is "SSU rRNA". It matches the Rfam family "Eukaryotic small subunit ribosomal RNA", at positions 587 to 972 of the family's 1831-position model. The record is from RNAcentral. Lineage: Eukaryota; Bacillariophyta; Thalassiosirophyceae; Chaetocerotales; Chaetocerotaceae.
AGCUCCAAUAGCGUAUAUUAAAGUUGCUGCAGUUAAAAAGCUCGUAGUUGCAUUUCCGAGGCAAGGGAUUAGUCCGACCUUUGGUGGGUAUUUAAUCCUCUUGCCUCGUCCUUGAGUGGUGCUUCUUGGUAUUAAGUUAUCGAGGAGAUAGCCGCUCAUCGUUUACUGUGAGAAAAUUAGAGUGUUCAAAGCAGGCUUAUGCCGUUGAAUAUAUUAGCAUGGAAUAAUAAGAUAGGACCUCGGUACUAUUUUGUUUGUUUGAGAACCAAGGUAAUGAUGAAUAGGGACAGUUGGGGGUAUUCGUAUUCAGUUGUCAGAGGUGAAAUUCUUAGAUUUUCGGAAGACGAACUACUGCGAAAGCAUUUACCAAGGAUGUUUUCA